AGAAUCAACGCUGGCGGCGUGCCUAACACAUGCAAGUCGAACGCGAAAGUCCCGAAAGGGGCAAGUAGAGUGGCAAACGGGUGAGUAACGCGUGGGUGACCUGCCUUCGAGCGGGGGAUAACAUUCCGAAAGGGAUGCUAAUACCGCAUAACAUUCCGCUUUUGAAGAGGUGGAAAUCAAAGCUGGGGAUCGCAAGACCCGGCACUUGAAGAGGGGCCCGCGUCUGAUUAGCUAGUUGGUGGGGUAACGCCUACCAAGGCUUCGAUCAGUAU
This 272-nucleotide ribosomal RNA is filed under the name uncultured bacterium. RNAcentral's name for it is "partial small subunit ribosomal RNA". It matches the Rfam family "Bacterial small subunit ribosomal RNA", at positions 26 to 286 of the family's 1533-position model. The record is from RNAcentral.